CAGCAGCCGCGGUAAUACGUAGGGUGCGAGCGUUAAUCGGAAUUACUGGGCGUAAAGCGUGCGCAGGCGGUUUGUUAAGUCUGAUGUGAAAGCCCCGGGCUCAACCUGGGAACUGCAUUGGAAACUGGCAAGCUCGAGUAUGGCAGAGGGGGGUGGAAUUCCGCGUGUAGCAGUGAAAUGCGUAGAGAUGCGGAGGAACACCGAUGGCGAAGGCAGCCCCCUGGGCCAAUACUGACGCUCAGGCACGAAAGCGUGGGGAGCAAACAGGAUUAGAUACCCUGGUAGUCCACGCCCUAAACGAUGCUCACUAGGUGUUGGGGAAGCGAUUCCUUGGUACCGAAGCUAACGCGUGAAGUGAGCCGCCUGGGGAGUACGGCCGCAAGGUUAAAACUUAAAGGAAUUGACGG
Molecule: ribosomal RNA, 407 nt
Filed under: uncultured bacterium
Lineage: Bacteria
Description: bacterial SSU rRNA
Rfam family: Bacterial small subunit ribosomal RNA
Source: RNAcentral